This 774-nucleotide ribosomal RNA is filed under the name uncultured Neocallimastigales. Its description in RNAcentral is "partial large subunit ribosomal RNA". It matches the Rfam family "Eukaryotic large subunit ribosomal RNA", at positions 24 to 628 of the family's 3401-position model. The record is from RNAcentral. Lineage: Eukaryota; Fungi; Neocallimastigomycota; Neocallimastigomycetes; Neocallimastigales.
UAUGUGAUCGUCUCUCGCAUAUCAAUAAGCGGAGGAAAAGAAACUAACAAGGAUUCCCCUAGUAACGGCGAGUGAAGCGGGAAGAGCUCAAAUUUGAAAUCUUAAAGGGUUUCCCUUUACGAAUUGUAGUUUAAAGAAGUGUUUUCUGUUGAGGUUUUGGUAAAAGUUCUUUGGAAUAGGACAUCAUAGAGGGUGAGAAUCCCGUAUUUGACCUUUACUUUCAACUUUGUGAUACACUUUCAAAGAGUCGGAUUGUUUGGGAAUGCAGUCCAAAAUGGGUGGUAAAUUUCAUCUAAAGCUAAAUAUUGGCGAGAGACCGAUAGCGAACAAGUACCGUGAGGGAAAGAUGAAAAGAACUUUGAAAAGAGAGUUAAACAGUACGUGAAAUUGUCAAAAGGGAAGCGUUUGACACCAGUGUUGUUUUUCUGAAAAUCAAUUAAAGAACUGUUUAUGCUAAGCUGUUUAGACUUUAUCAGCUAACUGUUUAGUUUUGAGCUUUUCUUUAAUGCACUUUUCAGUUAACAAGUCAACAUCAAUUUCUUUUGCUGUAAAAAAGCUUGAGGAAGGUGGCUUGAGAUUCGUCUUAAGUGUUUAUAGCCUCUUGCCUAUGCAGUCGGAGAGAUUGAGGUCUGCAGCGUAGAUCCUUCGGGGCUAAAUGCAUUUGUGCUAAGUUAUAGCAUUUUAUAGACAACUUGUUGACUAUGAUUUGUCUUGUAGCUUACUCGCUUAUGUUAUUUUACCUACGCUUAGGAUGUUGAGUCGUAGAGCACGCAG